Molecule: transfer RNA, 62 nt
Filed under: Molannodes epaphos
Lineage: Eukaryota; Metazoa; Arthropoda; Insecta; Trichoptera; Molannidae
Description: tRNA-Arg
Source: RNAcentral
AAAUAAGAAGCUAAAAGCAUUUAGUUUCGACCUAAAAAUUUGAAAAUUAUUUUCCUUAUUUA